CCAAUUUUUAAAAUCCAAACCCAUUGACCCGUUUUAAAGUAAAUGAUACAAUCAGCAGGCCGAGUUUGGGAAGCCAUGGGAAAUGUUGGUUCAAAUAAUGAGCGAACUAGAGCAGUUGGUGGACAGAAUGGUGUUCGAAAGCUUCGGAGUACCAGAAAAGCACUAUGAAUCACAUAUAGCAACCACUAUACCUCCUCCGCCCUACCAAGUACAUAGCACCACCAUCAGCGACGGCACACAGCACCAACAAUGUCGGCGCCAAUAUACACACAGAUAAGAGCUUCUCUUUCAGAAUCAGGUUCUGGAUGAGGGAACUGGGUAAUCCAGUGGUCUGCCACACCUUUGGGGAAACCAACUAAAUUGCACAUCUUUUGGGACAAGAAGGAAUGAAGAAAGCAACACCAAAUCAGCUUCUUGUUUUGCUCACUCUAUAUCAACCUUUAGCGUAUAAUA
Molecule: long non-coding RNA, 453 nt
Organism: Lycium ferocissimum
Lineage: Eukaryota; Viridiplantae; Streptophyta; Magnoliopsida; Solanales; Solanaceae
Exons: 2
Source: RefSeq, a predicted model, not a curated record